UACGUAGGGUGCGAGCGUUAAUCGGAAUUACUGGGCGUAAAGCGUGCGCAGGCGGUUUUGUAAGCCAGAUGUGAAAGCCCCGGGCUUAACCUGGGAAUGGCAUUUGGGACUGCAAGGCCUGAGUGCGGCAGAGGAGACUGGAAUUCCUGGUGUAGCAGUGAAAUGCGUAGAUAUCAGGAGGAAUACCGAUGGCGAAGGCAGGUCUCUGGGCUGACACUGACGCUCAUGCACGAAAGCGUGGGGAGCAAACAGG
This 253-nucleotide ribosomal RNA is filed under the name uncultured bacterium. RNAcentral describes it as "partial 16S ribosomal RNA". It matches the Rfam family "Bacterial small subunit ribosomal RNA", at positions 524 to 776 of the family's 1533-position model. The record is from RNAcentral.